GCAUCCUCCGUCAACACGCGCUCGCCGCUUUCUGUAGAGCUGUGGUCAAAAACGCGCAAGGUGACGUUUGCUAAACCCCCGUCCAGAGGCAGGCUCCUUUUGCCCAAGCUGACCAAUGGGAGGCUUCUCAGCACAAAACCAGAAUACCUUUGUAUUCUUUAACCGGGACUGUCAGACAAAGUUCCGAGGGCUCCAUGUGAUUUUGUUUUAUAUGUCUGUUUGUGAAUUACUUGUAAUAUUUGACUCCUUUUUUGUAGUCCUCUAUUCUACAACUGAUAGCUAGGUUGGGGGCGUGGCCAAUGCGACUCCCACUGGCAGUCAGGUGGUACAAGUCCAAUGCUAACCAAUGAGCUGUCGAGGAAAUGAGCUAAAUGGGUGGAUCUUUUCAUAUGACGUCAUAUCAUGCUACUUUUUUCAGCCAGUGAUAUAGGACCACCAUUUUGAUGGUGGAGUAAGUGGGUCUGAUUGGUCAGAUGCUCUUUAGCUAGCAUAGCAUAAGGUUUAAGGAGUUUUAAAAUAUUUUAAAGAAUUACAAUAAAAUCAAAUUGGCUAGCUACCAUCGCAUUUUAACGUAGCUAAUAGCUAAACUUAAUUUAGUACACGUUCUGCUAAGAGUCGAUACUUUUGAGCAAACGGAUUGAAGCUACUUGUUGUCUGUGUUACGGCCUACCAAUAACUCUUUGUGAAGAAAGGUCAGUUCAUCAGAGCAACAAUGAUGAUAGUCCAGUCUAAGGCUUCUUUGUGGCGCGUUCGUAACCUUCAAUUUCUUCCAUUACCAAUCUUUUGUAUAAAUCCUGGACCAUUGAAUAAUUUUAUUAGCUAUUCUUUUAGUAUCACUUGAUGUCGUCAUGUAAAUACAAAGCUAUAUCUGUACAAACAUGCUGUAAUUUCUCAUUACAAUUAUCUAUCAAAAAUCUACACUUGAAAUAUUUUCCGAUGUUAAAGUGAUGUAACAACUUCAUUUACAUUUUGACCAACAAGAUUAUUAUCUACCAUUGUGCACUCUUGUCAGACAAUGUAAACCAGGAUGAUCAAAUUAUCUGUGGAACCAGAAGAACAACACGAGGGAGUUGGAUGGCAUUAUCUCUUGAUCCAAGAUGGAGAAGAAAAGGGAUUUUUUCCAUUGUAGUUUAGAUUCCCUCUCUUCAAACUAGGUUAUGUUACUGAUCUGAUCAACCACUUGGAGUUCAUUCAUGCCCGCCCAGUCAUAGAUAAUCAAGCCUGUGAUUUAAGAUGCUCCUUAAGUCAUUUCAAAUCUACCCUGUCACUGUUGUGACCUUGGAAUUUUGUGUGUUCUUGACACAAUAAUUGUUUUAUUUGGUAUCAUGGCCAACAUGACCAUUCCUUCUAUUUAUCCUCUACUCACUUAAUGUAAACUCCCCACUCAUCUAUCCAUCUUAUUUUGUGUCAUCUAAUUAACAUUUCAUCUCUUGUAAUAAACACGUUGACACAAGACACUUAAUUACAGCUUUAUUGGCUCCUCCUAGAGUAAUGUUUGAGCUGGGACCCUUGCAUACCACACCAAGGAAAUAUUUCUGUGGCUGUAAUUCCUUUGAAGCAGAGGCUAUCAAUAGUUUCAAAUUCCAAGUGCACAUCAAUCUGCCCUUGGUAUUUUAAUGAGGUUGAAGCUCGGGGUAAAGGUACCUACUCAAUAUUCAGUAUUUAUAUUAUUCAAAAACCAGCAUCAUCAGGAAUCAUUAUUACUUGUGCACUGCUGUCUUGUCUAUUGUCACAUUGUCUACUGUCGCGCACCAACCGCCAAGACAAAUUCCUUGUAUGUUUGGCAUAUUUUGGUAAUAAAUGUUUCCUGAUUCCUGAUGUGGAUUUCCAGUUCAAAAACUCUUUAAUGAGUGAAUUUUAGACGUUCUGGUUGGUUAGAAGGCUUCAGAAGCAUAUACAAACAUAUACUGAUAUAGUAAAAGUAUUAUGGUUAAGACAUAUUUUAGAACCCUUCAUCACUGGACUGUAAUAAAAUCAGCUUUUAAUUAAGUCCAAGUCGGUUUACUUUUAAGAAAAGUUCAGACAUUUUUAAAGAUUUUCUGGCAUAAGAUGAUACUGUACUGUGCAUCCUCUGAUCGGAGCUGAUUUAUUUCUCAUUUGGACAGCUGAUACUUCAUCAAACCACAUUGAAAUACUUUAGCUACUAUUACGAUGAAUUGGCUAUAAAGAACAUCUCAUUCUGUAAUGCAACAUAUUAAGCCUAAGCUGCGCUAAAUUUGUAUUGAAUUGUUUCCAGGACAUUGAAAUGCUGUGCAAUCAGAAUAUACGCCGGAUGAGAUCAUACCAGGUCCAAAACAUGUUUUUUAUGAUAAUGUUGGCCAGUUAAGUAAAGAACUUGUGUACGAGUCUACAACGGUUUGUUGCACCAAAAAUCACACAUACACAAGAUCAGUGAUUUCAAUCAGAAAUGUAUUAAAUUAAUCACUUUCAUUACUUAAACAAGCACAAUUUACAGUCAAAAACAGGCUAUGGUCCAUUAGUGCCUUAGACAAGCAAGUAAUUAAUACAUUAGUCAUUUAUAACACACAAGGGCAGGAUUCUUUAAAAACUGCAGUUCAGUAACAACACAUUUUAUUUUAUCAGACAUGAGACAUUUAGCUGUACAAGAGACUAUGCAUCGUGUCCCUCAUAACUUAAGAGAGGCAUGAGGAAGUUUAUCAUUUGUUGUGUGCACUGCCUCAGAGAGGUCUGCGUACAGCUAGUAUGCCUUUUGUGUGAGAGCCGGACAAAUAGGUCCGCAUCUGCCACCUACAGAUUGUUUAAGUUUGAGAAAUAGCCGCUUUGCAGCUUUUUCAGAUCCUGUAAAAAAAGAAACCAGGACCAUCCCAUGACGAGACACCAAUGUGAAGAUCUGAAAAAUCAGAGCUCUGGUGCUAAAUGUCACAGUACUUAUUUAACCUACAAAAGAUUGUGUGCAUUUAUAACCAGAUUAACCUGUCUCUAUUAGAGGCAAGAGGUGCAUUAAGGUGUAUGCAGCUUCUCUGUAUUCAAGUUACAGCUCAACUGAGAGAGAAUAUCCCACAGCUAUUACUUCAUGCCUUUCGAGUAAAGGGGAAACCACUGAGGUCACAAAUGGCCAUCACAGGACACUUAAUUCAUGUAGCGUUAAAAAACACAUAAAUAUCUCGUCCGAAAAACACUGUUAGUUGGUCCACAGUAUAAUGCCUGGGCAAAACACAUAAAAAUCUUUAAAUUUGCUCCAGUAUUAUCUGAGUCCAAUAAAUAAAAAUGCAUUGAGGUGAGCUGCAUUAAAGAAACCGGUUACAUCAGUCGUAAUUUCAUUUAGACUUUGCAAAGUGAAGUAUUGAAUCUACACAUGGCAAGGAUUAUUUCAAACACUUCCAAAAUGAUCCACGAACAAAAUGUAUUGGUGUUGAACAGACACAGGAUUUACACGACUGUCAAAAGGUGAUCAUUAGAGAACAUGAAAUAAAUCAAUUGUACAUUUUGCAAACUGA
Molecule: non-coding RNA, 3458 nt
Organism: Gasterosteus aculeatus aculeatus (three-spined stickleback)
Lineage: Eukaryota; Metazoa; Chordata; Actinopteri; Perciformes; Gasterosteidae
Source: RefSeq, a predicted model, not a curated record